GGGUGUUGAGGGAGUCUGGGCAGU
This 24-nucleotide non-coding RNA is filed under the name Arabidopsis thaliana (thale cress). Lineage: Eukaryota; Viridiplantae; Streptophyta; Magnoliopsida; Brassicales; Brassicaceae. The record is from RNAcentral.